This 427-nucleotide ribosomal RNA is filed under the name uncultured bacterium. Its description in RNAcentral is "partial 16S ribosomal RNA". It matches the Rfam family "Bacterial small subunit ribosomal RNA", at positions 355 to 774 of the family's 1533-position model. The record is from RNAcentral.
UGGGGAAUAUUGCACAAUGGGCGCAAGCCUGAUGCAGCCAUGCCGCGUGUGUGAAGAAGGCCUUCGGGUUGUAAAGCACUUUCAGCGAGGAGGAAGGGUAGUGUGUUAAUAGCACAUUGCAUUGACGUUACUCGCAGAAGAAGCACCGGCUAACUCCGUGCCAGCAGCCGCGGUAAUACGGAGGGUGCAAGCGUUAAUCGGAAUUACUGGGCGUAAGGCGCACGCAGGCGGUUUGUUAAGUCAGAUGUGAAAUCCCCGCGCUUAACGUGGGAACUGCAUUUGAAACUGGCAAGCUAGAGUCUUGUAGAGGGGGGUAGAAUUCCAGGUGUAGCGGUGAAAUGCGUAGAGAUCUGGAGGAAUACCGGUGGCGAAGGCGGCCCCCUGGACAAAGACUGACGCUCAGGUGCGAAAGCGUGGGGAGCAAACA